GGACCUGAAGCUGAUGAAAUCAGCAGACCUGCCAAUAUCAGCAACAUCAGCGGCGCCAUAAGUGAAAAGAUUAUCAGCAGUCAAAUACAUAUAUAACUAUAUUUAGAGGUAUAUAUUAUAGAAAAAAGGCGUAGCUACUACUAAUUAGUCGCUGUUGCUAUAAAAGUCCAGACCUUGCCGUAGUACACAUAAGUAAAUCCGGCCGAAAGUUUAAAUUUAGAAACGAGGCGUGCGACUCAAUCUCUUAUCAAUGCAGUCGCGGUCAUGGUGAUCAGACUGGAACAGAGAUCGGGCAGGGAGUGUGCGCAGAGUUUAUUUUUGGCAGCAGCCGUCGCCACGACAAGAAAUCAUUCCGUAACUGACCUAGAGCACCUGAUCGAGACGUGAUCAACUAUUUGGCAGCGAGAACGGCCAAAGGAAAAGAAAA
Drosophila innubila is the source of this 427-nucleotide long non-coding RNA. RefSeq lists it as uncharacterized. Lineage: Eukaryota; Metazoa; Arthropoda; Insecta; Diptera; Drosophilidae. The transcript has 2 exons. The record is from RefSeq and is a predicted model, not a curated record.